This 253-nucleotide ribosomal RNA is filed under the name uncultured bacterium. Its description in RNAcentral is "partial 16S ribosomal RNA". It matches the Rfam family "Bacterial small subunit ribosomal RNA", at positions 524 to 776 of the family's 1533-position model. The record is from RNAcentral.
UACGUAGGGUGCGAGCGUUACUCGGAAUUACUGGGCGUAAAGCGUGCGCAGGCGGUUGUGCAAGACAGAGGUGAAAUCCCCGGGCUUAACCUGGGAAUGGCCUUUGUGACUGCACGGCUAGAGUGUGUCAGAGGGGGGUAGAAUUCCACGUGUAGCAGUGAAAUGCGUAGAGAUGUGGAGGAAUACCGAUGGCGAAGGCAGCCCCCUGGGAUAACACUGACGCUCAUGCACGAAAGCGUGGGGAGCAAACAGG